GGGGGGACCAUCCUCCAAGGCUAAAUACUCCUGACUGACCGAUAGUGAACCAGUACCGUGAGGGAAAGGCGAAAAGAACCCCGGCGAGGGGAGUGAAAAAGAACCUGAAACCGUGUACGUACAAGCAGUGGGAGCACGCUUAGGCGUGUGACUGCGUACCUUUUGUAUAAUGGGUCAGCGACUUAUAUUCUGUAGCAAGGUUAACCGAAUAGGGGAGCCGAAGGGAAACCGAGUCUUAACUGGGCGUUAAGUUGCAGGGUAUAGACCCGAAACCCGGUGAUCUAGCCAUGGGCAGGUUGAAGGUUGGGUAACACUAACUGGAGGACCGAACCGACUAAUGUUGAAAAAUUAGCGGAUGACUUGUGGCUGGGGGUGAAAGGCCAAUCAAACCGGGAGAUAGCUGGUUCUCCCCGAAAGCUAUUUAGGUAGCGCCUCGUGAAUUCAUCUCCGGGGGUAGAGCACUGUUUCGGCAAGGGGGUCAUCCCGACUUACCAACCCGAUGCAAACUGCGAAUACCGGAGAAUGUUAUCACGGGAGACACACGGCGGGUGCUAACGUCCGUCGUGAAGAGGGAAACAACCCAGACCGCCAGCUAAGGUCCCAAAGUCAUGGUUAAGUGGGAAACGAUGUGGGAAGGCCCAGACAGCCAGGAUGUUGGCUUAGAAGCAGCCAUCAUUUAAAGAAAGCGUAAUAGCUCACUGGUCGAGUCGGCCUGCGCGGAAGAUGUAACGGGGCUAAACCAUGCACCGAAGCUGCGGCAGCGACACUAUGUGUUGUUGGGUAGGGGAGCGUUCUGUAAGCCUGUGAAGGUGUACUGUGAGGUAUGCUGGAGGUAUCAGAAGUGCGAAUGCUGACAUAAGUAACGAUAAAGCGGGUGAAAAGCCCGCUCGCCGGAAGACCAAGGGUUCCUGUCCAACGUUAAUCGGGGCAGGGUGAGUCGACCCCUAAGGCGAGGCCGAAAGGCGUAGUCGAUGGGAAACAGGUUAAUAUUCCUGUACUUGGUGUUACUGCGAAGGGGGGACGGAGAAGGCUAUGUUGGCCGGGCGACGGUUGUCCCGGUUUAAGCGUGUAGGCUGGUUUUCCAGGCAAAUCCGGAAAACUAAGGCUGAGGCGUGAUGACGAGGCACUACGGUGCUGAAGCAACAAAUGCCCUGCUUCCAGGAA
This 1164-nucleotide ribosomal RNA is filed under the name Shigella boydii. RNAcentral describes it as "partial 23S ribosomal RNA". It matches the Rfam family "Bacterial large subunit ribosomal RNA", at positions 446 to 1614 of the family's 2925-position model. Lineage: Bacteria; Pseudomonadati; Pseudomonadota; Gammaproteobacteria; Enterobacterales; Enterobacteriaceae. The record is from RNAcentral.